CAAUCCUGGUGGCGAGUGGCGAACGGGUGAGUAAUACAUCGGAACGUGCCCAGUAGUGGGGGAUAACCCGGCGAAAGCCGGACUAAUACCGCAUACGACCUACGGGUGAAAGCGGGGGAUCGCAAGACCUCGCGCUAUUGGAGCGGCCGAUGUCAGAUUAGCUAGUUGGUGGGGUAAAGGCCUACCAAGGCGACGAUCUGUAGCUGGUCUGAGAGGACGACCAGCCACACUGGGACUGAGACACGGCCCAGACUCCUACGGGAGGCAGCAGUGGGGAAUUUUGGACAAUGGGCGCAAGCCUGAUCCAGCCAUGCCGCGUGCGGGAAGAAGGCCUUCGGGUUGUAAACCGCUUUUGUCAGGGAAGAAACGCUCCGGGCCAAUACCUCGGAGUAAUGACGGUACCUGAAGAAUAAGCACCGGCUAACUACGUGCCAGCAGCCGCGGUAAUACGUAGGGUGCAAGCGUUAAUCGGAAUUACUGGGCGUAAAGCGUGCGCAGGCGGCUUUGCAAGACAGAUGUGAAAUCCCCGGGCUUAACCUGGGAACUGCAUUUGUGACUGCAUGGCUAGAGUGCGGCAGAGGGGGAUGGAAUUCCGCGUGUAGCAGUGAAAUGCGUAGAUAUGCGGAGGAACACCGAUGGCGAAGGCAAUCCCCUGGGCCUGCACUGACGCUCAUGCACGAAAGCGUGGGGA
RNAcentral lists this ribosomal RNA (691 nucleotides) under uncultured Pseudomonadota bacterium. RNAcentral describes it as "bacterial SSU rRNA". It matches the Rfam family "Bacterial small subunit ribosomal RNA", at positions 80 to 767 of the family's 1533-position model. Lineage: Bacteria; Pseudomonadati; Pseudomonadota. The record is from RNAcentral.